GGCGAAAUAGCUCAGUUGGUUAGAGCGCUUGAUUCAUACUCAAGAGGUCGAUGGUUCGAAUCUAUCUUUCGCUA
This 74-nucleotide transfer RNA is filed under the name Clostridia bacterium. RNAcentral's name for it is "tRNA-Met". It matches the Rfam family "tRNA". Rfam says of the family: Transfer RNA (tRNA) molecules are approximately 80 nucleotides in length. Their secondary structure includes four short double-helical elements and three loops (D, anti-codon, and T loops). Lineage: Bacteria; Bacillati; Bacillota; Clostridia. The record is from RNAcentral.